GCCCAGCCAGUGUAGUGGAUAUGACCCUCGGCUUGUAACCGAGUGGGUUCGGUUUCGAAUUCCGAGUUAGGCA
RNAcentral lists this transfer RNA (73 nucleotides) under Trichonephila inaurata madagascariensis. It matches the Rfam family "tRNA". Rfam says of the family: Transfer RNA (tRNA) molecules are approximately 80 nucleotides in length. Their secondary structure includes four short double-helical elements and three loops (D, anti-codon, and T loops). Lineage: Eukaryota; Metazoa; Arthropoda; Arachnida; Araneae; Nephilidae. The record is from Rfam by way of RNAcentral.